This is a long non-coding RNA of Panthera uncia (snow leopard), 2016 nucleotides long. RefSeq lists it as uncharacterized. The record is from RefSeq and is a predicted model, not a curated record. The transcript has 3 exons. Lineage: Eukaryota; Metazoa; Chordata; Mammalia; Carnivora; Felidae.
ACCAACUACCAUUUUGUUAUCUUUUAAACAUUUUAUUGGUUUGGGCUUUUUACAGUAUAAUGGCUGUGCGUUUUGAAAGGGGGAGCUUCUUGAGAGUGAACAUUUCAGAACCAGAAGGGAGCUGCAUGAGCUUUUAUGACUGAGCCUCAGAACUCACACAGUGUCACUUCCACCGUAUUCUGUGGCUAGAAUUAUGCACAGGCUCAUCCAGGUUAAAAGAGAUGGGGACAAUGAGGUGUCAAAGAACUUGAAGCCAUGAUUUAAAACUGUCAUGCCAUUUACUAGGGAGUUCUAAGAAAGCUUUCUUUCUUUUUCUUAGAAGCUCCUAGGGAAAGACAGGGAGAGGAACAAGCUGAGGCGGGGAGAUCAUGUGUUCGAAUAUUUAAAAAAUGCCAUUGGGAUUUUGAUGAGAAUUGUGUUGAAUCUAUAGAUCACUUUGUGCAGCCACUGAAGACCUCGUGAAGAAAGCAGUAUGCUGGAAAGACACAUAAAAUCCACCAUCGAGACUUCAGCACUGAAGCUCCCAUUGUAUUGUUCCAGUACAGAGCAGCAGGUAAGGAAAUGGAACAGAGCAAGGAGGCUUUCAGGUACUGAACCAAAGCCGAUGUGACACAUGGCCGCUGUGGUGGGAAUCAGCAUCUUAACUUAGUCAGGUAUGAGUGAGUCUUACAGUGUGAUGUCAAUGUAGAUCACUAACGUGAAGAAAUAUUUUAUGAUAGAAAUCGGGGCACCUGGGUGGCUCAGUCGGUUGAGUGUCUGACGUUGGCUCGGGUCGUGAUCUCAUGAUUUGUGAAUUUGAGCGCCGUCUUGGGUUCUGUGCGUAUAGCUCAGAGCCUGGAGCCUAAUUCAGAUUCUGUGUCUCCCUCUCUGCCUUUUCUUGCUCACGCUCUGCCUCUCUUUCCUCUCUCUCAUUCUCUCUCAAAAAUAAACAUUAAAAAAUUAUAAUAGAAAGGAAUUUAAAAAUUUUUGCAGUAUGUGAUUUUCGUGUCUUGUUCAAAUAAUGCAACUCAGUGUCCUUGGUAGUUAUUACAACUGUUUACAUGGUAGCAAGUGGUGACUUAUGCCUGGCUCUUAGUCCCGCGGAGAGGAACCAGUGGUGAACAGUUCCUGGCGUGGCCUCUGGAGCAGUUAUUUGCAUGCGGGGAAUUCCAAGUUUCACAAAGGAGGCUGGGUUCUGGAAAUUUAUGCAUACUCAGAAGGCCUCACUGGGGAGUGAGAUCUGAGAUGGCUCUGGAAAAGAAAGCUGUUUGGCUGACUGAUGCACUGGGGGUACUAACAUAGAUAGAGGGAAGGAGAUGAAGGAAAAAAGUUUCAGGUACAGGAAAGGAAUACAGGAUCUGGGGCCGGUUAAAGAGGAGAUUAGGGGCACCUGGGUGGCUCAGUCAGUUAAGCGUCCAGCUUCAGCUCAGGUCAUGAUCUGUGGUUCGCGGGUUUGAACCCCCCAUCAGGUUCUGUGCUGACAGCUCGGAGCCUGGAGCCUGCUUCAGAUUCUGGGUCUCCUCUCUCUGCCCCUCUCUCACUCAUGCUCCAUCUCUCUGUCUCUGUCUCUGUCUCUCUCAAAAAAAUAAACAUUAAAAAAAAUUUUUUUUAAACAAAGAGGAGGUUAAAUGGGAUGGAUUGGAUUGAUGGAGUUUUUCCUAAUCAUUCUGAUCUGGCAUUUGUUUGAGUGUUCUGUGACUUUUAGUCAUUGUGUUUCCUCAUAAUAUAUAUGCCAACACUGAAGUGGUUCAUGACCCCGGGGGCCAAAUUCAUAGAAUCACUUUAAGAAGACAGAUAGACAGGUGUCUAACCAUGAAGCUAUUUGGCAACAUUCAGGUCCCACUUAAGAAUAUUACCCGGAUUUAAGAUAAUCCUCAGAGGAUUUGGGUUCCAUUAAAAAUUUUGAGCACAGGAUAGAUGUCAUCCUUGAUUCCUUAUUUAAUAAAAAUAAAGAUAAAUUGGUGCACACACACCAGCGCCCUGAAAUCAGAGAUGAUUAGAAAUAACUUGAUUGGAAAUACAUUCAGACAGAUAGAA